This 465-nucleotide ribosomal RNA is filed under the name uncultured bacterium. RNAcentral describes it as "partial 16S ribosomal RNA". It matches the Rfam family "Bacterial small subunit ribosomal RNA", at positions 338 to 795 of the family's 1533-position model. The record is from RNAcentral.
CCUACGGGUGGCUGCAGUGGGGAAUUUUGCGCAAUGGGCGAAAGCCUGACGCAGCGACGCCGCGUGAGGGAUGAAGGUCUUCGGAUCGUUAACCUCUGUCAGCAGGGAAGAACGGUCACUGUGCUAAUCAGCAGUGAAUUGACGGUACCUGCACAGGACGCACCGGCUAACUCCGUGCCAGCAGCCGCGGUAAUACGGAGGUUGCUAGCGUUCAUCGGAAUUUCUGGGCGUAAAGCGCUCGUAGGCGGUAUGUCAAGUCAAGGGUGAAAUCCGCGCGCUCAACGUGGGAACUGCCUAUGAAACUGGCAAACUGGAGUGUGGGAGAGGAUAGUGGAAUUCCAGGUGUAGGAGUGAAAUCCGUAGAUAUCGGGAGGAACAUCAGUGGCGAAGGCGAGUAUCUGGCACAUAACUGACGCUGAGGAGCGAAGGCGUGGGUAGCAAAAGGGAUUAGAUACCCGGGUAGUC